UACGUAGGAGGCAAGCGUUAUCCGGAUUUACUGGGUGUAAAGGGAGCGUAGGUGGUUCGGUAAGUCAGAUGUGAAAGCCCGGGGCUCAACCCCGGGACUGCAUUUGAAACUAUCGAACUAGAGUGUAGGAGAGGUAAGUGGAAUUCCUAGUGUAGCGGUGAAAUGCGUAGAUAUUAGGAGGAACACAAGUGGCGAAGGCGGCUUACUGGACUAUAACUGACACUGAGGCUCGAAAGCGUGGGGAGCAAACAGG
Molecule: ribosomal RNA, 253 nt
Filed under: uncultured bacterium
Lineage: Bacteria
Description: partial 16S ribosomal RNA
Rfam family: Bacterial small subunit ribosomal RNA
Source: RNAcentral